AUUGAACGCUGGCGGUAGGCCUAACACAUGCAAGUCGAACGAGUGGCGGACGGGUGAGUAAUGUCUGGGAAACUGCCCGAUGGAGGGGGAUAACUACUGGAAACGGUAGCUAAUACCGCAUACCAUCGGAUGUGCCCAGAUGGGAUUAGCUAGUAGGUGGGGUAACGGCUCACCUAGGCGACGAUCCCUAGCUGGUCUGAGAGGGUGACCGGCCGCACUGGAACUGAGACACGGUCCAGAAUCCGACGGGAGGCAGCAGUGGGGAAUAUUGCACAAUGGGCGCAAGCCUGAUGCAGCCAUGCCGCGUGUAUGAGGGAGGCCUUCGGAUUGUAAAGUACUUUCAGCAGGGAGGCGUUACUCGCAGAAAAAGCGCCGGCUAACUCCGUGCCAGCAGCCGCGGUAAUAC
Molecule: ribosomal RNA, 406 nt
Filed under: uncultured bacterium
Lineage: Bacteria
Description: partial 16S ribosomal RNA
Rfam family: Bacterial small subunit ribosomal RNA
Source: RNAcentral